GGGGGGGGGGGGGGGGGGGGGGGGGGGGGGGGGGGCGGGGGGGGAGGGGCGGGGGUGGGGGGGGGGGCGAGUGGCGAACGGGUGAGGAACACGUGAGUAACCUGCCCUUGACUUGGGGAUAACUGCAGGAAACUGGGGCUAAUACCGGGUAGGAGGUCCUGCUGCAUGGGGGGGGUGGGAAAGUUUCGGCGGUUGGGGAUGGACUCGCGGCUUAUCAGCUUGUUGGUGGGGUAGUGGCUUACCAAGGCUUUGACGGGUAGCCGGCCUGAGAGGGUGACCGGCCACAUUGGGACUGAGAUACGGCCCAGACUCCUACGGGAGGCAGCAGUGGGGAAUAUUGCACAAUGGGCGGAAGCCUGAUGCAGCAACGCCGCGUGCGGGAUGACGGCCUUCGGGUUGUAAACCGCUUUCGCCUGUGACGAAGCGUGAGUGACGGUAAUGGGUAAAGAAGCACCGGCUAACUACGUG
This 468-nucleotide ribosomal RNA is filed under the name uncultured bacterium. RNAcentral describes it as "partial 16S ribosomal RNA". The stretch from base 55 to 468 matches the Rfam family "Bacterial small subunit ribosomal RNA", at positions 39 to 507 of the family's 1533-position model. The record is from RNAcentral.